GGAGAGAUGGCUGAGUGGUUUAAGGCGCGCGCCUGGAGAGCGCGAGUACCUAAACAGUACCGUGGGUUCGAAUCCCACUCUCUCCGCCA
This 89-nucleotide transfer RNA is filed under the name Verrucomicrobiota bacterium. RNAcentral describes it as "Verrucomicrobia bacterium (freshwater metagenome) tRNA-Ser". It matches the Rfam family "tRNA". From Rfam's summary of the family: Transfer RNA (tRNA) molecules are approximately 80 nucleotides in length. Their secondary structure includes four short double-helical elements and three loops (D, anti-codon, and T loops). The record is from RNAcentral. Lineage: Bacteria; Pseudomonadati; Verrucomicrobiota.